GGCGCGAUAGCAAAGCGGUUAUGCAGUGGCCUGCAAAGCCAUCUAGACCGGUUCGACUCCGGUUCGCGCCUCCA
This 74-nucleotide transfer RNA is filed under the name Methylovorus sp. MM2. Its description in RNAcentral is "tRNA-Cys". It matches the Rfam family "tRNA". Rfam says of the family: Transfer RNA (tRNA) molecules are approximately 80 nucleotides in length. Their secondary structure includes four short double-helical elements and three loops (D, anti-codon, and T loops). Lineage: Bacteria; Pseudomonadati; Pseudomonadota; Betaproteobacteria; Nitrosomonadales; Methylophilaceae. The record is from RNAcentral. RNAcentral also lists the same sequence under 1 other name.